CAGUCGCCGCGGGAAUACGUAGGGUGCAAGCGUUGUCCGGAAUUAUUGGGCGUAAAGAGCUCGUAGGCGGUUUGUCGCGUCUGCUGUGAGAUCCCGAGGCUCAACCUCGGGCUUGCAGUGGGUACGGGCAGACUAGAGUGCGGUAGGGGAGAUUGGAAUUCCUGGUGUAGCGGUGGAAUGCGCAGAUAUCAGGAGGAACACCGAUGGCGAAGGCAGAUCUCUGGGCCGUAACUGACGCUGAGGAGCGAAAGCGUGGGGAGCGAACAGGAUUAGAUACCCCUGUAGUCCCUGUCUCUUAUAC
This 301-nucleotide ribosomal RNA is filed under the name uncultured bacterium. RNAcentral describes it as "partial 16S ribosomal RNA". It matches the Rfam family "Bacterial small subunit ribosomal RNA", at positions 509 to 807 of the family's 1533-position model. The record is from RNAcentral.